UACGGAGGGUGCAAACGUUGCUCGGAAUCAUUGGGCGUAAAGCGCACGUAGGCGGCCUGUUAAGUCGGACGUGAAAGCCCUGGGCUCAACCCAGGAAGUGCAUUCGAAACUAGCAGGCUUGAAUAUGGAAGAGGGUCGCGGAAUUCCCGGUGUAGAGGUGAAAUUCGUUGAUAUCGGUAGGAACACCAGUGGCGAAGGCGGCGACCUGGGCCAAUAUUGACGCUGAGGUGCGAAAGCGUGGGGAGCAAACAG
RNAcentral lists this ribosomal RNA (252 nucleotides) under uncultured bacterium. RNAcentral's name for it is "partial 16S ribosomal RNA". It matches the Rfam family "Bacterial small subunit ribosomal RNA", at positions 524 to 775 of the family's 1533-position model. The record is from RNAcentral.